RNAcentral lists this ribosomal RNA (253 nucleotides) under uncultured bacterium. RNAcentral's name for it is "partial 16S ribosomal RNA". It matches the Rfam family "Bacterial small subunit ribosomal RNA", at positions 524 to 776 of the family's 1533-position model. The record is from RNAcentral.
UACGAAGGGGGCUAGCGUUGCUCGGAAUCACUGGGCGUAAAGGGCGCGUAGGCGGCCUGAUCAGUCGGGGGUGAAAGCCUGUGGCUCAACCACAGAAUGGCCUUCGAUACUGUUGGGCUUGAGACCGGAAGAGGUAAGUGGAACUGCGAGUGUAGAGGUGAAAUUCGUAGAUAUUCGCAAGAACACCAGUGGCGAAGGCGGCUUACUGGUCCGGAUCUGACGCUGAGGCGCGAAAGCGUGGGGAGCAAACAGG